This 460-nucleotide ribosomal RNA is filed under the name uncultured bacterium. Its description in RNAcentral is "partial 16S ribosomal RNA". It matches the Rfam family "Bacterial small subunit ribosomal RNA", at positions 338 to 795 of the family's 1533-position model. The record is from RNAcentral.
CCUACGGGAGGCAGCAGUGAGGAAUAUUGGUCAAUGGACGGGAGUCUGAACCAGCCAUGUCGCGUGCAGGAAGACGGCCCUAUGGGUUGUAAACUUCUUUUGUACGGGGGUAAACCUUUAUACGUGUGUUCUUCUGUAAGUACUCUACGAAUAAGGAUCGGCUAACUCCGUGCCAGCAGCCGCGGUAAUACGGAGGAUCCAAGCGUUAUCCGGAUUUAUUGGGUUUAAAGGGUGCGUAGGAGGAUUGUUAAGUCAGAUGUGAAAUGUUCCGGCUUAACCCGGGAAUUGCCGUUGAUACUGGGGGUCUUGAGAGUAGUUGAGGUAGGCGGAAUGCAUGGUGUAGCGGUGAAAUGCUUAGAUAUCACGAAGAACACCGAUUGCGAAGGCAGCUCACCAAACUACAUCUGACGCUGAGGCACGAAAGCGUGGGGAGCAAACAGGAUUAGAUACCCUGGUAGUC